This 542-nucleotide non-coding RNA is filed under the name Pan troglodytes (chimpanzee). Lineage: Eukaryota; Metazoa; Chordata; Mammalia; Primates; Hominidae. The record is from RNAcentral.
CAUCAACACCUUUACCUCUUCCCGCCUGAAAAUAAAAUAUGAAAUAUAACAAGUAAAUCGCAAUCUACCUUGAAUCUUCUGGAGAGGGAAAGAAGAAACCAUGUCUAGACAAGGUGCUGGAAAGACCCAGGGAAGACACAGGUGAGCUAAGAAAGCAGUAGAAACUGGGUAAUUAAAAGUCAACAUAAUGGCUGGAAACUUGUUCAAGGAGAUAUAAAAAGAAAGAAAAACCAAAAGAGAGACUGUAUAGAUGAACUUUGUCUAUUUACAAUUUUGUCUAAGGCCAAAUCUGCAGUCUGGUCCCACCGCAUGUUAUCUAAGUUGUUCAUAUACCAAUACUAAGAGCUACUGAAAUUCUUCCAAAAAAUCAAAAUCAUUUCCCCUUUGAUUUGCUAGUUUUUCCUCUUGGUAAAUAAAGAUUCAUUUUUUAGUAAUAACUGACCUGCCCUAAGGGUUCACCACUUUCCUCUGAUCUCAAAUCUUGUGCUAGGUCUUUAGGUUACAAUUCAUGAAAAUAAAAAAUAAACAAAAAAAUUCUCUUA